UUAUAUGGUCAUCGGAUGAAUAUAGAGGUCAAUUCGAUAAAUGAUUAGAUGGCGUCUAGACUCAAAUACACACGAAACGAAGCUACGUAUUUUCAUGCCUGUGCCUUGUUUAUUGUUUUAUUUAGACUUUUGAUAGUUUGGAUAAAUGUUUUACAUCGUUAUAAAUCAAAUAUGAGAAUUUGAUUAGAAUCGGUGAACAUGAAUUUGACAGCUAGUGCCACUUUAAA
RNAcentral lists this long non-coding RNA (227 nucleotides) under Mytilus galloprovincialis (Mediterranean mussel). The record is from RNAcentral. Lineage: Eukaryota; Metazoa; Mollusca; Bivalvia; Mytilida; Mytilidae.